CCGCUUUCAAGCUCGCUCGACAUGCUGCUCGUUUCCCCGCAGCCGCCGCGCUUUGAUCCAGGGUGAACUUUUGCCCUUUGCCUUUUCGUCCCAGAGAAAAGUGGACAAAAGCUCGCGGGGCCGGCACAUCCACCAGUCGAGGGCGGUCCAUCCCGGUCCUGACUCCCGCCGUCAUCUUUCUGGAUGUGACUCCUACCAACGGGGGCGGUGCGCGACUCUCCUCCCGUCGUCGUUAACGCCAGACGCCGACUUGUACCGCCACCGGACAGCCGUCCCGCCGACAAAUGACGACGGUUCGAGUUCCCCGAAAUGUGCGAAAAGUGACGACGGACACAAAAUUCUCCUGAACCCACAAAAGCACCUUUCGGAAAUCAAUUCCUUUGACCGACAUAAGUAUUUUUGAAAUAUUAGCAGUUGUUCCCCAAAAGGUCUUCAUUAGGUCAUCAUAAAUCAUUUUCUUUCAUCGA
Syngnathoides biaculeatus (alligator pipefish) is the source of this 467-nucleotide long non-coding RNA. RefSeq lists it as uncharacterized. The record is from RefSeq and is a predicted model, not a curated record. The transcript is spliced from 2 exons. NCBI's taxonomy places the organism in Eukaryota, Metazoa, Chordata, Actinopteri, Syngnathiformes, Syngnathidae.